Molecule: ribosomal RNA, 384 nt
Filed under: uncultured bacterium
Lineage: Bacteria
Description: bacterial SSU rRNA
Rfam family: Bacterial small subunit ribosomal RNA
Source: RNAcentral
GACGAACGCUGGCGGCGUGCUUAACACAUGCAAGUCGAGCGGUAAGGCCCUUUCGGGGGUACACGAGCGGCGAACGGGUGAGUAACACGUGGGUGACCUGCCCUCAGCUCUGGGAUAAGCCUGGGAAACUGGGUCUAAUACUGGAUAUGACUCCACGGUGCAUGUCGUGGGGUGGAAAGCCUUGUGCGGCUGAGGAUGGGCCCGCGGCCUAUCAGCUUGUUGGUGGGGUGANGGCCUACCACGGCGACGACGGGUAGCCGGCCUGAGAGGGCGACCGGCCACACUGGGACUGAGACACGGCCCAGACUCCUACGGGAGGCAGCAGUGGGAAUCUUGCGCAAUGGGCGAAAGCCUGACGCAGCGACGCCGCGUGAGGGAUGACGG